This 441-nucleotide ribosomal RNA is filed under the name uncultured bacterium. RNAcentral's name for it is "SSU rRNA". It matches the Rfam family "Bacterial small subunit ribosomal RNA", at positions 26 to 518 of the family's 1533-position model. The record is from RNAcentral.
AGAGCGAACGCUGGCGGCAGGCCUAACACAUGCAAGUCGAGCGCCCCGCAAGGGGAGCGGCAGACGGGAGAGUAACACGUGGGAACGUACCCUUCAGUUCGGAACAACCCAGGGAAACUUGGGCUAAUACCGAAUACGUCCGUAAGGAGAAAGAUUUAUCGCUGAAGGAUCGGCCCGCGUCUGAUUAGCUUGUUGGUGAGGUAAUGGCUCACCAAGGCUACGAUCAGUAGCUGGUCUGAGAGGAUGAUCAGCCUCACUGGGACUGAGACACGGCCCAGACUCCUACGGGAGGCAGCAGUGGGGAAUAUUGGACAAUGGGCGCAAGCCUGAUCCAGCCAUGCCGCGUGGGUGAUGAAGGCCCUAGGGUUGUAAAGCCCUUUCGGCGGGAAGAUAAUGACGGUACCCGCAGAAGAAGCCCGGCUAACUCGUGCCAGCAGCCGC